RNAcentral lists this ribosomal RNA (253 nucleotides) under uncultured bacterium. RNAcentral describes it as "partial 16S ribosomal RNA". It matches the Rfam family "Bacterial small subunit ribosomal RNA", at positions 524 to 776 of the family's 1533-position model. The record is from RNAcentral.
UACGUAGGGGGCGAGCGUUGUCCGGAUUUAUUGGGCGUAAAGAGCUCGUAGGCGGUCUGUUGCGUCUGCCGUGAAAACCCGAGGCUUAACCUCGGGCCUGCGGUGGAUACGGGCAGACUAGAGGUAGGUAGGGGAGAAUGGAAUUCCCGGUGUAGCGGUGAAAUGCGCAGAUAUCGGAAGGAACGCCGGUGGCGAAAGCGAGCUGCUGGAUCCCUCCUGACGCUGAGGCGCGAAAGCGUGGGGAGCAAACAGG